GAUGAACGCUGGCGGCGUGCCUAAUACAUGCAAGUCGAGCGAACAGAUGAGAAGCAUGCUUCUCUGAUGUUAGUGGCGGACGGGUGAGUAACACGUGGGUAACCUACCUAUAAGACUGGGAUAACUCCGGGAAACCGGGGCUAAUACCGGAUAAUAUUUUGAACCGCAUGGUUCAAUAGUGAAAGACGGUUUCGGCUGUCACUUAUAGAUGGACCCGCGCCGUAUUAGCUAGUUGGUAAGGUAACGGCUUACCAGGGCGACGAUACGUAGCCGACCUGAGGGGGUGAUCGGCCACGCUGGAACUGAGACACGGUCCAGACUCCUACGGGAGGCAGCAGUAGGGAAUCUUCCGCAAUGGGCGAAAGCCUGACGGAGCAACGCCGCGUGAGUGAUGAAGGUCUUCGGAUUGUAAAACUCUGUUGUUAGGGAAGAACAAAUUUGUUAGUAACUGAACAAGUCUUGACGGUACCUAACCAGAAAGCCACGGCUAACUACGUGCCAGCAGCCGCCGUAA
This 514-nucleotide ribosomal RNA is filed under the name uncultured bacterium. RNAcentral describes it as "partial 16S ribosomal RNA". It matches the Rfam family "Bacterial small subunit ribosomal RNA", at positions 28 to 523 of the family's 1533-position model. The record is from RNAcentral.